GUGUGUGAUGAUAUGAACUCGCCUGAUCUCUGAAGCUAAAGAGGGUGGGGCCUGGUUAGCACUUGGAUGGGAGACCGCCUGGGAAUACUGGGUGCUGUAGGCU
This 103-nucleotide ribosomal RNA is filed under the name Fukomys damarensis (Damara mole-rat). Lineage: Eukaryota; Metazoa; Chordata; Mammalia; Rodentia; Bathyergidae. The record is from RNAcentral.